GACGUAGGGCGCGAGCGUUGUCCGGAUUUAUUGGGCGUAAAGAGCUCGUAGGCGGUGUGUCGCGUCGGCCGUGAAAACCUGCAGCUUAACUGUGGGCUUGCGGUCGAUACGGGCAUCACUGGAGUUCGGCAGGGGAGACUGGAAUUCCUGGUGUAGCGGUGAAAUGCGCAGAUAUCAGGAGGAACACCGGUGGCGAAGGCGGGUCUCUGGGCCGAUACUGACGCUGAGGAGCGAAAGCUAGGGGAGCAAACGGG
RNAcentral lists this ribosomal RNA (254 nucleotides) under uncultured bacterium. RNAcentral's name for it is "partial 16S ribosomal RNA". It matches the Rfam family "Bacterial small subunit ribosomal RNA", at positions 524 to 776 of the family's 1533-position model. The record is from RNAcentral.